GGCAGCACCUGAGCGAUGCUGUGCCCGUGUCCAUAUCUGUGUCCAUAUCUGUGUCCAUGUCCGUGUUUGUGUCCGUGUUUGUGUCCGUGUGCAUGUCUGUGUCCAUGUCUGUGUCCAUAUCUGUGUCCAUAUCUGUGUCCAUGUCUGUGUCUGUGUCUGUGUCCAUAUCUGUGUCCAUAUCUGUGUCCAUGUCUGUGUCUGUGUCUGUGUCCAUAUCUGUGUCCAUAUCUGUGUCCAUGUCUGUGUCUGUGUCUGUGUCCAUGUCUGUGCCCAUGUCCGUGUCCAUGUCUGUGUCCAUAUCUGUGUCCAUAUCUGUGUCCAUGUCUGUGCCCAUGUCUGUGCCCAUGUCUGUGCCCAUGUCCGUGUCCAUGUCUGUGUCCAUAUCUGUGUCCAUGUCUGUGUCCAUGUCUGUGUCCAUAUCUGUGUCCAUAUCUGUGUCCAUGUCUGUGCCCAUGUCUGUGUCCAUGUCUGUGUCCAUGUCUGUGUCCCCUGUCCCUGCAGCGAGGCGCUUCGUUAGCGCAAAGAUUUUAUUCCAGGCAAUUUCACUCUGAUGGGUUUCCGCUCUUAUCAUGCAAAAGGACCCAGCACAAUGAUGCCGGGCGAGUUCUCAAUUAACAGCUUCCAGGGAUGAGGAUGAGGGAUGCAGCACGGGGCACCGCGGGCGCUGGGACUCCCAUGGCCCAGGUCAUCCCCCUCGGCCACCCCAUGGGGAUUCCUCAGGCCGGGGGGGGGAAGCUGUGGGGUUGGGGCAGCCCCAUCCUUCGGCCAGCAGAGCAGGCCGGGCUGUCAGGCAGCACUAACAGUAACGAAUGCCCCUAAUGAAGCACCCAAUUAGCCAGGAUCCCAGCCUUAAUGGUAGCUGACAGAGCUGAAAGCUGCGAGUAGUCAAUUGUCAAGUGCAGCAUCCCAUCGGAGGGAGACGCCAGGGCUGCGCCAUUCAUCUCUGUCACGGAGAAACGGCGCUCCUGCCUUAACCCUGGGGCGCUGAGAUCCGCAGCCCCCGUGGGCCCCGUGGCCCCAUAACCCCACAGACCCAAAGGCCCCGCAGUGACCCCAUGGCCUCCGCAGGCACAGUCACCCCACAGGCCUCGUGGCCCCAUAGGCCCCGCAGGCCCCACAGCCACCGCAAAGACCUGCAGGCCCCGUGGCUCCCAUAGGCCCCAUAACCACCACAGGCCCCACAGCCCCUACAACCACACCAAGGCCCCACAGGCCCAUUUCACCCCAUAGACCUCUAUACCCCCACAGGCCCAUUUCACCCCAUAGACCUCUAUACCCCCACAGGCCCAUUUCACCCCAUAGACCUCUAUACCCCCACAGGCCCAUUUCACCCCAUAGACCUCUAUACCCCCACAGGCCCAUUUCACCCCAUAGACCUCUAUAUCCCCACAGGCCCAUUUCACCCCAUAGACCUCUAUAUCCCCACAGGCCCAUUUCACCCCAUAGACCUCUAUAUCCCCACAGGCCCAUUUCACCCCAUAGACCUCUAUACCCCCACAGGCCCAUUUCACCCCAUAGACCUCUAUAUCCCCACAGGCCCCACAGACCCAUAUCACCCCACAGACCCCACAGCCACCUAGGCCCCAUAGGCUCCACAUCCCCAGAGGCUGCUCCCAUAUCCCCCACAGGGCCCUGAGUCCUCAGCCCCACACAUGGCAGCAAACUCUCCCGCCCCACUCAGAGCCGAGGCAGCCGCCACAUCUCCCUUUGUGCUGCUGCAUUUCACCAUUUUUGCACCAUUUUACGCCGUUUGCUUUGUUGUUUUUUUGGGUGUUUUUUUUGCCACUCUGUGUCACACGGUAUCACCCCACCGCCGCCAUCACUCCCAGCCGUGGAGGUUUUUAUUUUAUUUUCUAUUUCAAACCAGACGAAUUAGCGCCGUGCCUCAUUUAGACAGCUCCAAUCCCACUCCUUCUAAUUAGCACGGCCUGGCAGCCCUGCUGCGGCUACGGCGUUCCAGGCGGCGGGUUUUUAAAACGCUGUUGACAUUUUGCGGACUGAACGACUUAAACGAUAACAAAUUAGCAGACGGCGCCGUGCGCUGCCCGCAGCCCUGCGUCCCCUCGUGCCGUGGGGAGGGUUUUGUAGGGAGGGGUGGUCCGUAAAGAUUGGCUGGAGGGAAAAGGCAGGGUGGACCCAAGACAGGAGCACGGGAAGAUGAGGGACCUGUGGUGGGGGUCCUUGUUACAUGGAGACGGGGACCUUGGGCGCAUGGAGGUGGGGACCCUUGUUACGUAGAGAUGGAGACCUUUGGCACAUGGUGAUGGGGAGCUUUGACACAUGGAAAUGGGGACAUUAGGCACAUGGAGGUGGGGACCUUUGGCACAUAGAGAUGGGGACCUUUGGCACAUGAAGGUGGGGACCUUUGGCACAUGGAGGUGGGGACCUUUGGCACAUGAAGGUGGGGACCUUUGGCACAUGGAGUUGGGGACAUUUGGCACAUGGAAAUGGGGACCUUUGGUGCAUGAAGGUGGGAACCCUUGUUACAUAGAGAUGGGGAUCCUUGACACAUGGAGGUGGGGACCUUUGGCACAUGGAGAUGGGGGCCUUUGGCACAUGGAAAUGGGGACCCUUGGCACAUGGAGGUGGGGAUGUGCUUUGCUCCUCCAUCCCCACCCCUGGAGGAUGAGCCCCAUCUGGAAGUGCUGCAUGGCGCCGUGCGCCACCCAGGGCUGUAGGGAUGGGGGUGCAGCGUGGCAUUGCCAAGGCUGGGAUGCCCAGCUGUCUGUGCUGCCUGUCCCUGUGUGCCAGCACUGUCUCUGUGUCCCCCCAUGACCCGUGUCCCCCCAGCCUGCCCUGUCCUAACGCUGCUCCCUAAAACCUCCUUCUCUGUACACUUUGUGCCUUCUGACCCUUGCGUUGGGUCACGUCUAUGGGGCACAGUGGGGAUGGGGACACAAGGGCACUGCUGCUGACCCCCCCCCCCGAUCACAGUGUUCCCAACCAGAAGUCCAUUGUGGGGGGAUGGGCUGGGGGGGGUUAAGGACCCACGUCCAGCUGAGAGCCCCACGCUGGGACUGAGCUCCCCACUGCUCCCCAGCCCCGUCUGCUCCAUUCAUCACAGCUAAUCAGCUUUAAUUCACCACUUUGUCAGUCCAGCAAAAGCCCUUGGAGUCGGUCGAUCUUUUUCUUCCCCCUCCCUAUCCCCAAAACAUAAUUAUUAUUAUUAUUCCCCUGAUGAGCGCGAGCCCUUCUGUUACAAUCGCCUUUUCGCUCGGACUUAAAUAACAAUCAUUAAAAUAAAUAAUUUUUUUAAAUAAAAGGAAGGGAGAGGAGCUGUGCACGUUUUUUCUUCUUCAUUUUUUUUUCUUUAUUGUUUUGUAUGUGUUUGAAAUUGUUUCCCAGUAAAUCGCGGCCCUUUGUAUUAAUUUUACAUUUUAAAAUGUUACCUUGCCAGGGGCAGGGUUGGCACAGCCGACUUGGAAAAGGAGAGGGAAGGAGAGAGAGAAAAGCCCUUCUCCUUCAUUAGCGCGUUUCCCUGUGUGAUCAGAGCGCUUAUGAAGUGGGUAACGGGUGGGAGGACGGAAGGAUUGGACCCCCCCCCCAUACACACCUCAUCCCUGCAUCCUUUUUGGGGUGCCAGUUUGGUCGACCGCUUCCUGGGCUGUCAUUGUCCCCAUUGGGGGCACACGGGGCAUCCGUGUGAUGAGUUGCAGCCAGCCUCAGCCUGGGUGCUCAGGGAGGAGCACAGGGCAGCGCUUUGGAUGGGAGGGGGGUGGGUGCAGGUGGGUGCUCAGGGUGCAAACCCCCAGCAGUAUGGGAUGGCUGUGGGAUACGGCGCCGCCGUGCCCAAGAGCGGCGCUGCAGGAGCUUCCAAUUCAUGAGCAAAGAGGGGAAAAGAGCAGAAGUGCUGUGUUGGUGUCCUGGGGGGCACAGAGCUGCGCUGGGGGGCUG
Long non-coding RNA from Tympanuchus pallidicinctus (lesser prairie-chicken), 3894 nucleotides. RefSeq lists it as uncharacterized. The record is from RefSeq and is a predicted model, not a curated record. NCBI's taxonomy places the organism in Eukaryota, Metazoa, Chordata, Aves, Galliformes, Phasianidae. The transcript has 4 exons.